Molecule: ribosomal RNA, 3189 nt
Filed under: Saccharomyces cerevisiae (brewer's yeast)
Lineage: Eukaryota; Fungi; Ascomycota; Saccharomycetes; Saccharomycetales; Saccharomycetaceae
Rfam family: Bacterial large subunit ribosomal RNA
Source: RNAcentral
AAUCAUGGAGUAUAAAAAUUAAAUUUAAUAAAUUUAAUAUAACUAUUAAUAGAAUUAGGUUACUAAUAAAUUAAUAACAAUUAAUUUUAAAACCUAAAGGUAAACCUUUAUAUUAAUAAUGUUUUUUUUUUUUUAUUUUUAUAAUUAAGAAUAAUUAUUAAUAAUAAUAAACUAAGUGAACUGAAACAUCUAAGUAACUUAAGGAUAAGAAAUCAACAGAGAUAUUAUGAGUAUUGGUGAGAGAAAAUAAUAAAGGUCUAAUAAGUAUUAUGUGAAAAAAAUGUAAGAAAAUAGGAUAACAAAUUCUAAGACUAAAUACUAUUAAUAAGUAUAGUAAGUACCGUAAGGGAAAGUAUGAAAAUGAUUAUUUUAUAAGCAAUCAUGAAUAUAUUAUAUUAUAUUAAUGAUGUACCUUUUGUAUAAUGGGUCAGCAAGUAAUUAAUAUUAGUAAAACAAUAAGUUAUAAAUAAAUAGAAUAAUAUAUAUAUAUAAAAAAAUAUAUUAAAAUAUUUAAUUAAUAUUAAUUGACCCGAAAGCAAACGAUCUAACUAUGAUAAGAUGGAUAAACGAUCGAACAGGUUGAUGUUGCAAUAUCAUCUGAUUAAUUGUGGUUAGUAGUGAAAGACAAAUCUGGUUUGCAGAUAGCUGGUUUUCUAUGAAAUAUAUGUAAGUAUAGCCUUUAUAAAUAAUAAUUAUUAUAUAAUAUUAUAUAAAUAUUAUAUAAAGAAUGGUACAGCAAUUAAUAUAUAUUAGGGAACUAUUAAAGUUUUAUUAAUAAUAUUAAAUCUCGAAAUAUUUAAUUAUAUAUAAUAAAGAGUCAGAUUAUGUGCGAUAAGGUAAAUAAUCUAAAGGGAAACAGCCCAGAUUAAGAUAUAAAGUUCCUAAUAAAUAAUAAGUGAAAUAAAUAUUAAAAUAUUAUAAUAUAAUCAGUUAAUGGGUUUGACAAUAACCAUUUUUUAAUGAACAUGUAACAAUGCACUGAUUUAUAAUAAAUAAAAAAAAUAAUAUUUAAAAUCAAAUAUAUAUAUAUUUGUUAAUAGAUAAUAUACGGAUCUUAAUAAUAAGAAUUAUUUAAUUCCUAAUAUGGAAUAUUAUAUUUUUAUAAUAAUAAUAAAAAUAUAAAUACUGAAUAUCUAAAUAUUAUUAUUACUUUUUUUUUUAAUAAUAAUAAUAUGGUAAUAGAACAUUUAAUGAUAAUAUAUAUUAGUUAUUAAUUAAUAUAUGUAUUAAUUAAAUAGAGAAUGCUGACAUGAGUAACGAAAAAAAGGUAUAAACCUUUUCACCUAAAACAUAAGGUUUAACUAUAAAAGUACGGCCCCUAAUUAAAUUAUAUAAGAAUAUAAAUAUAUUUAAGAUGGGAUAAUCUAUAUUAAUAAAAAUUUAUCUUAAAAUAUAUAUAUUAUUAAUAAUUAUAUUAAUUAAUUAAUAAUAUAUAUAAUUAUAUUAUAUAUUAUAUUUUUAUAUAUAAUAUAUAUAAUAUAAACUAAUAAAGAUCAGGAAAUAAUUAAUGUAUACCGUAAUGUAGACCGACUCAGGUAUGUAAGUAGAGAAUAUGAAGGUGAAUUAGAUAAUUAAAGGGAAGGAACUCGGCAAAGAUAGCUCAUAAGUUAGUCAAUAAAGAGUAAUAAGAACAAAGUUGUACAACUGUUUACUAAAAACACCGCACUUUGCAGAAACGAUAAGUUUAAGUAUAAGGUGUGAACUCUGCUCCAUGCUUAAUAUAUAAAUAAAAUUAUUUAACGAUAAUUUUAUUAAAUUUAGGUAAAUAGCAGCCUUAUUAUGAGGGUUAUAAUGUAGCGAAAUUCCUUGGCCUAUAAUUGAGGUCCCGCAUGAAUGACGUAAUGAUACAACAACUGUCUCCCCUUUAAGCUAAGUGAAAUUGAAAUCGUAGUGAAGAUGCUAUGUACCUUCAGCAAGACGGAAAGACCCUAUGCAGCUUUACUGUAAUUAGAUAGAUCGAAUUAUUGUUUAUUAUAUUCAGCAUAUUAAGUAAUCCUAUUAUUAGGUAAUCGUUUAGAUAUUAAUGAGAUACUUAUUAUAAUAUAAUGAUAAUUCUAAUCUUAUAAAUAAUUAUUAUUAUUAUUAUUAUUAAUAAUAAUAAUAUGCUUUCAAGCAUAGUGAUAAAACAUAUUUAUAUGAUAAUCACUUUACUUAAUAGAUAUAAUUCUUAAGUAAUAUAUAAUAUAUAUUAUAUAUAUAUUAUAUAUAAUAUAAGAGACAAUCUCUAAUUGGUAGUUUUGAUGGGGCGUCAUUAUCAGCAAAAGUAUCUGAAUAAGUCCAUAAAUAAAUAUAUAAAAUUAUUGAAUAAAAAAAUAAUAUAUAUUAUAUAUAUUAAUUAUAAAUUGAAAUAUGUUUAUAUAAAUUUAUAUUUAUUGAAUAUAUUUUAGUAAUAGAUAAAAAUAUGUACAGUAAAAUUGUAAGGAAAACAAUAAUAACUUUCUCCUCUCUCGGUGGGGGUUCACACCUAUUUUUAAUAGGUGUGAACCCCUCUUCGGGGUUCCGGUUCCCUUUCGGGUCCCGGAACUUAAAUAAAAAUGGAAAGAAUUAAAUUAAUAUAAUGGUAUAACUGUGCGAUAAUUGUAACACAAACGAGUGAAACAAGUACGUAAGUAUGGCAUAAUGAACAAAUAACACUGAUUGUAAAGGUUAUUGAUAACGAAUAAAAGUUACGCUAGGGAUAACAGGGUAAUAUAACGAAAGAGUAGAUAUUGUAAGUUAUGUUUGCCACCUCGAUGUCGACUCAACAUUUCCUCUUGGUUGUAAAAGCUAAGAAGGGUUUGACUGUUCGUCAAUUAAAAUGUUACGUGAGUUGGGUUAAAUACGAUGUGAAUCAGUAUGGUUCCUAUCUGCUGAAGGAAAUAUUAUCAAAUUAAAUCUCAUUAUUAGUACGCAAGGACCAUAAUGAAUCAACCCAUGGUGUAUCUAUUGAUAAUAAUAUAAUAUAUUUAAUAAAAAUAAUACUUUAUUAAUAUAUUAUCUAUAUUAGUUUAUAUUUUAAUUAUAUAUUAUCAUAGUAGAUAAGCUAAGUUGAUAAUAAAUAAAUAUUGAAUACAUAUUAAAUAUGAAGUUGUUUUAAUAAGAUAAUUAAUCUGAUAAUUUUAUACUAAAAUUAAUAAUUAUAGGUUUUAUAUAUUAUUUAUAAAUAUAAUAUAAUAAUUAUUAUUAUUAAUAAAAAAAAUAUUAAUUAUA